GCUCUUCCCUUCUGUGGCCUGAUUACAGGCUGCUAUCUGUGCUUUUGCUUCUGUUGCUGCUUCAACUUCUGCUGCGGCAAAUGCAAACACGACCUCCAGAUGAGACCGGGACUACCAUAAUCUCAACCCUGACCAAGCUGAGGGAGUUCAUACCAGUCAGCCUGGGACAUCAAGUAAGAAAGAGGACCUGAGUGACGAUGAGGAAGGAAAGGGCCGCAGGAGAACACCU
This is a long non-coding RNA of Penaeus monodon (black tiger shrimp), 229 nucleotides long. RefSeq lists it as uncharacterized. The record is from RefSeq and is a predicted model, not a curated record. The transcript is spliced from 3 exons. Lineage: Eukaryota; Metazoa; Arthropoda; Malacostraca; Decapoda; Penaeidae.